AUGCACGCUGGCGGCGUGCCUAAUACAUGCCAGUCGAGCGAACAGACGAGGAGCUUGCUCCUCUGACGUUGGCGGCGGACGGGUGAGUAACACGUGGAUAACCUACCUAUAAGACUGGGAUAACUUCGGGAAACCGGAGCUAAUACCGGAUAAUAUAUUGAACCGCAUGGUUCAAUAGUGAAAGACGGUUUUGCUGUCACUUAUAGAUGGAUCCGCGCCGCAUUAGCUAGUUGGUAAGGUAACGGCUUACCAAGGCAACGAUGCGUAGCCGACCUGAGAGGGUGAUCGGCCACACUGGAACUGAGACACGGUCCAGACUCCUACGGGAGGCAGCAGUAGGGAAUCUUCCGCAAUGGGCGAAAGCCUGACGGAGCAACGCCGCGUGAGUGAUGAAGGUCUUCGGAUCGUAAAACUCUGUUAUUAGGGAAGAACAAAUGUGUAAGUAACUAUGCACGUCUUGACGGUACCUAAUCAGAAAGCCACGGCUAACUACGUG
Molecule: ribosomal RNA, 496 nt
Filed under: uncultured bacterium
Lineage: Bacteria
Description: partial 16S ribosomal RNA
Rfam family: Bacterial small subunit ribosomal RNA
Source: RNAcentral